GCUAUAUAAUUGAUCGCCUCGUUCAAGUGAACAGAAAUAAAUGAAUGAAGGGAAUCGAUGAAACGGUUUCGGGAAAAUUUCGGGAAAAUAGGAAACUCGCAGGGGGCAGCCUCGAUAAAUUUACGUCUCUCGAUUUAUUAUUCUAUUCUUGGAUCUACGAUCAGUGAUCUUUUCACAUAUCAGUCUAGACCUUUCGCGGGGGAAAACGACCAGGAGAGAAAUGCAGCGACGAUGACUCCGGGGUAGUAGAGAACAAAUGACCGAGGUAGAGCGCGCGAGAGCGGGAGAGAAUGUUGAGAAACGGGAGAGAAUGGGUAAGACCGAUCUAAAUAUUUAUCUUUAUAAGUAUUAACGCGUCUGUUAAAAAAUUUUCUAAUAUAUAUAUAUUAUAUUAUAAUAUAUUAUAUAUAUAUAUAUAUAUAUAUAUGUAUCAUACAUUUUUGCACAUGGUGUGCCACCCUGUCCGCAAUUCUCCCGAUCGUUCCCCCUAACGAAACAGAUCUGUGUUAGAAAGAAAAUACGUCGUUGACUCGACUUCAACUUUCUUCGAAUCGUUUUUAUCGAGAAUUGCGGACGCGGGACGCGUAUGUGACGAGAUAUAUAUAUAUACUUUCUAUGCGCGACGGCCGAUCUCUCGAGCCAUCGAUCCACGAUCGGGGCUGCUGUCUUAGGACCUCUUUAGUUCUAUCCCUUUGUAAACGUCGUGGUUCGAGCUGUAUGGGAGACGAGGAAGAAUGACGAACGAACGUGUAGCUUCGAUUAUUUCAUUUCGGAAGAGAACAGUACCGUUUAUAAUUGUAUCGCGUUUUAUUGUCUAUCGUUCGCGAGUAUCGUUGGAAUUAAAUCGUCGAGUCUUCCUCGUUUCUCGUGCGCUCCGACGCGAAUCGGGCGGUGAUCGUUGCUCCGGAUAUCCGCUUAUUUAAACAAGCAAGCUGAUCUUUCCCUAAACUGGAACAUCACAGUGGCCUUGACGCGAUUGUUUUCAAAUAUCCAACGUGAUCGCAAAAAAGAAAAACGACGAUUAAGACAUAUCAAAGUCUCUUAGAGAUCACCCGAUGCAGAGUUCUAUUAGAAUUUUGAUUUCAUACUGUUUAGAACAGUCGAAGAGUCAGUAAUAAGAGUUGCUCCUCCUAGAAUAAAAUACUCGUUUUUAAUUAUGGUUUUAAUAAAUCUGUGGCUUUGUAAAAUAAUGUGCGUUACAUCUGUGAGCAUCUGUUUCGAUUAUACCGUAGAAUAAGUACUAUACACAGGGUCGCUUCUGUCACUGACUCUUCCACGAUCUUCUUAUUAUUAUUAAAAAGAAAAAAAAGCGGAAUUCCGACGCGGCACUUUGCUCUCUUCGCUUUUUUAGUUAGUCUUUCAAAUUUUUAGAUAGGAGGAAAUGGCCUAUUUCGACGCUGGAUGAAACCCGUUCUCCUUUUAGUAAACUAAACCGAUCCAAAAGCGUGUCCUUAUAAAAAUAAUAUUUUUUAAUGCGGUACAAAACUGUCGAACUCUCGUCGUCUUGUGCGAGGUGUCGAGUCGAGGCGUUCGACGGAUAAGAGACAUAUCAUUUCUUCUGGGCCUUCUUUCAUAUUAACUCGUAGAAAAUUGUUGAAGUCGCGUGGAAGGUUAUUCGUAUCUUUUCUCUCAUCGUAACCAGACCGCGAAUUCACACGCUACGUCAAAUUCGCAUAACCUCAAACAGAUUCCAGAGAUGUUUGAUUAACAUUUCGUUUCGAAUUUUGGAUAUAUUGUUUAUUCUUAUUUUUAUUCCUCUUUCGAAUUGUAUUUACGAAAUUAAACAUUUAGUUUUAAAUUUUAAUAAAUAAAAUAAAAUUCGAAUUGUCAAAGUCACGUGUAACCCGACGGGCAUGCGAUGGCAUGCCCGCAGGACGCUGCCGCGUCUCUCCAUUAUUAUUGCACGUCCUGAGGACGUCGAGGACGGACGGUGAUGUAAUAAUUCGUGGUCUGGUCUGGUGUCGAUAUUUCUACAUAUCAUUCGCUGUUAGAUCGUUUAGAAUCAUCCAGCGUCAAGUGUAACUCGACUCGCGGUAACUUGCAUCUGAACAUGGCAAGCAUUAAACGUUCCAUUACUAAAUAUUCUUUUACAAUAAUUAAAUGAUAAUUUAUGAAUCGUUCGUCGACCGGGUGAGCCGUGACGUGUUCGGACGAGCAAUUUACGGCGAGGAUUAUCUUCCAACGCGUACGACGAGUGAGAGGUACCGUGUGAUGCAUUUUUUUUUUCUUAUUACCUUUACUGUUCAGUUGUACGUUUACUUAAGCAAGGUUUCCUUUGCGAUAUGGAGGAAGGCGUCGAAGACAGUUGGGAAAGAGAAUUGUAACUCCGUGAAAUGGUUUCCCCGAUUGUUGCAAACUUCGAUGAAUAUUAGACAGUCGUUUCGUUGAGUUUUUACUCAUUCUUCGACGUCUUCCUUCGUGGGUUACUUAGUGGAAUCGCGAAUCAAAUAAAGUGUUCCAAUGGAUAGGAGAGUGAGAGGGCGAGCGUGGAAAAUGUAACGGUGCUCCAGUGGGGCAAUGAAUGACUAAUUAUUAAUUAUCGUGUACAAUUUUCGUUGUUCUUCUCUCGGGGAUUAUCGUGGUAUCUUGGGAAGAUGUAUAUGCGCACCAGAAGGACAGAAUUUUCCAUGUAAUAUACAUAUACCCUUACUACGUAACUCUACGUUGUUUAAUAUUGAUAAGGAUCAAAAAUAAAAGUGAUUAUUCAGAAAGUAAUCGACCGGCUUCGGAUUCGUUCUCUCGGUCGAUACACGAAUUCAAGAGGAGUAAGUUCGCUUUUGUUUCGUCCUGCUAUCCGUUUCGGGGGUUAUAGGCUCUCAAAGUUAUGUCACACCGUGCAUAGCGUUCGGCACGGUGACCCACUUAUGCCAGUCAGCGUCUAGACUUGGUCUAGACGGGUGAGUCGGCCAAUGUGCGACAAGGAGAGCAACAGGAGUGCCAUAAAACUUGUGGUCCUCUUCUCACUACGAUAUCUUCGGGACCAGAAGUCGAAUCGAGAUGAAUUAAACGGGACGUCGAAGAGGAGGCUUCACUGUUUCGAAAAUUCACGACUCGACGGAAUCUCAGUCGUCGUACACAUAUCACUGCAACACUACCCUUACCUUCGCUGCAUGCUUUAUCUUCUCCAUGCAAGUAUUAUUUAUAUAAAAAAUACUUGUUAAUCUUGUAUCCCUUGUCUUUUUUUCGUGAAUAAAGAGUUCAGAAUAAAAAGAUAGUUUUAA
Ceratina calcarata is the source of this 3221-nucleotide long non-coding RNA. RefSeq lists it as uncharacterized. The transcript is spliced from 2 exons. The record is from RefSeq and is a predicted model, not a curated record. Lineage: Eukaryota; Metazoa; Arthropoda; Insecta; Hymenoptera; Apidae.